GGCAGCUGAUCAUCACUAUCUAUGAAUCAGCCAUGCACUGCAAACUUCUCUACUGUAUGACCUUUUUAUUCUGGACAGCAAGUUCCAUGGACUCUGGGGUCAUUCAGAGUCCUAGACAUCUGGUCAAAGGAAAAGAACAGAAAGCCAGAAUGCAGUGCACCCCCAUAAAAGAACAUAGUUAUGUUUAUUGGUACUACAAGAAGCCGGGAGAAGACCUCAAAUUCUUGGUUUACUUUCAGAAUACAGACAUCCUUGAUAAAACAGAUAUGAUCGAGAAAAUCAUUUCAGCAGAAUGCCUCACUAACAAAACAUGUACCAUAGAGAUCAAGUCCAGCAAGCUAACAGAUUCAGCUGUGUACUACUGUGCUAGCAGUCAAUCCACAGUGCUGACUACUGGUUUUUCUUAG
Non-coding RNA from Rattus rattus (black rat), 407 nucleotides. The record is from the annotation of a RefSeq genome assembly. NCBI's taxonomy places the organism in Eukaryota, Metazoa, Chordata, Mammalia, Rodentia, Muridae.